AUACGGAGGAUGCGAGCGUUAUCCGGAUUUAUUGGGUUUAAAGGGAGCGUAGGUGGGAUAUUAAGUCAGCUGUGAAAGUUUGGGGCUCAACCUUAAAAUUGCAGUUGAUACUGGUUUCCUUGAGUACGGUACAGGUGGGCGGAAUUCGUGGUGUAGCGGUGAAAUGCUUAGAUAUCACGAAGAACUCCGAUCGCGAAGGCAGCGCGCCGGACCGGAACUGACACUGAUGCUCGAAAAUGCGGGUAUCAAACAGGAUUAGAUACCCUUGUAGUCCGCACAGUAAGCGAUGAAUACUCGCUGUUUGCGAUACACUGUAAGCGGCCAAGCGACAGCGUUAAGUAUUCCCCCUGGGGAGUACGCCGGCAACGGUGAAGCUCAAAUGAAUUGACGGGG
This 393-nucleotide ribosomal RNA is filed under the name uncultured bacterium. RNAcentral describes it as "partial 16S ribosomal RNA". It matches the Rfam family "Bacterial small subunit ribosomal RNA", at positions 523 to 918 of the family's 1533-position model. The record is from RNAcentral.